GACGAACGCUGGCGGCGUGCCUAAUACAUGCAAGUCGAACGCUUCUUUCCUCCCGAGUGCUUGCACUCAAUUGGAAAGAGGAGUGGCGGACGGGUGAGUAACACGUGGGUAACCUACCCAUCAGAGGGGGAUAACACUUGGAAACAGGUGCUAAUACCGCAUAACAGUUUAUGCCGCAUGGCAUAAGAGUGAAAGGCGCUUUCGGGUGUCGUUGAUGGAUGGACCCGCGGUGCAUUAGCUAGUUGGUGAGGUAACGGCUCACCAAGGCCACGAUGCAUAGCCGACCUGAGAGGGUGAUCGGCCACACUGGGACUGAGACACGGCCCAGACUCCUACGGGAGGCAGCAGUAGGGAAUCUUCGGCAAUGGACGAAAGUCUGACCGAGCAACGCCGCGUGAGUGAAGAAGGUGUUCGGAUCGUAAAACUCUGUUGUUAGAGAAGAACAAGGACGUUAGUAACUGAACGUCCCCUGACGGUAUCUAACCAGAAAGCCACGGCUAACUACGUG
This 508-nucleotide ribosomal RNA is filed under the name uncultured bacterium. Its description in RNAcentral is "partial 16S ribosomal RNA". It matches the Rfam family "Bacterial small subunit ribosomal RNA", at positions 28 to 507 of the family's 1533-position model. The record is from RNAcentral.